UUUUUUUUUUUGUUUUCCGAGACGUAAAAAGUAAUACGGAGGUAUUUCAAGUCGUUUUAAAGAGAAAAAGACCAAGCCGAUUCUGGUGGGUAUAGUAAUGUGAGGUGCUUUUUUUUUUUUUUUUUUUUUUCCUUCCUCCGGGGGAAACAAAAAAAAAAAAAAA
This 163-nucleotide non-coding RNA is filed under the name Platyophrya macrostoma. Lineage: Eukaryota; Ciliophora; Colpodea; Cyrtolophosidida; Platyophryidae. The record is from RNAcentral.